UAUGGCUCAGAACGAACGCUGGUGGCGUGUCUAUACAUGCAAGUCGAGCGAGGCAGCAAUGCCGAGCGGCGAACGGGUGAGUAACGCGUAAGCAAUCUGCCCCAUAUCAGGAAAUACCCGUGCCAACGCGCGGUUAAUGUCCAGGAGAGUGGCCCCCUGCAUGGGGGGUUGACUAGAGAUUUAUCGGUAUGGGAUGAGCUUGCGUCCGAUUAGCUAGUUGGCGGGGCAACGGCCCACCAAGGCGACGAUCGGUAGCCGGCCUGAGAGGGUGAUCGGCCACAUUGGGACUGAGAUACGGCCCAGACUCCUACGGGAGGCAGCAGUAGGGAAUAUUGCGCAAUGGGGGAAACCCUGAUGCAGCAACGCCACGUGUGGGAAAGAAGCAUUUCGGUGUGUAAACCACUGUCAUGAGGGAAUAAGGCCCGCCUUCGGGCGGGAUUGAAUGUACCUUGAGAGGAAGCACCGGCAAACUUCGUGCCAGCAGCUGC
Molecule: ribosomal RNA, 488 nt
Filed under: uncultured bacterium
Lineage: Bacteria
Description: bacterial SSU rRNA
Rfam family: Bacterial small subunit ribosomal RNA
Source: RNAcentral